GGGUUGUGAGGUUAAGCGACUAAGCGUACACGGUGGAUGCCCUGGCAGUCAGAGGCGAUGAAGGACGUGCUAAUCUGCGAUAAGCGUCGGUGAGGUGAUAUGAACCGUUAUAACCGGCGAUUUCCGAAUGGGGAAACCCAGUGUGUUUCGACACACUAUCAUUAACUGAAUCCAUAGGUUAAUGAGGCGAACCGGGGGAACUGAAACAUCUAAGUACCCCGAGGAAAAGAAAUCAACCGAGAUUCCCCCAGUAGCGGCGAGCGAACGGGGAGGAGCCCAGAGCCUGAAUCAGUGUGUGUGUUAGUGGAAGUGUCUGGAAAGGCGCGCGAUACAGGGUGACAGCCCCGUACACAAAAAUGCACAUGCUGUGAGCUCGAUGAGUAGGGCGGGACACGUGGUAUCCUGUCUGAAUAUGGGGGGACCAUCCUCCAAGGCUAAAUACUCCUGACUGACCGAUAGUGAACCAGUACCGUGAGGGAAAGGCGAAAAGAACCCCGGCGAGGGGAGUGAAAAAGAACCUGAAACCGUGUACGUACAAGCAGUGGGAGCCUCUUAAUGGGGUGACUGCGUACCUUUUGUAUAAUGGGUCAGCGACUUAUAUUCUGUAGCAAGGUUAACCGAAUAGGGGAGCCGAAGGGAAACCGAGUCUUAACUGGGCGUUAAGUUGCAGGGUAUAGACCCGAAACCCGGUGAUCUAGCCAUGGGCAGGUUGAAGGUUGGGUAACACUAACUGGAGGACCGAACCGACUAAUGUUGAAAAAUUAGCGGAUGACUUGUGGCUGGGGGUGAAAGGCCAAUCAAACCGGGAGAUAGCUGGUUCUCCCCGAAAGCUAUUUAGGUAGCGCCUCGUGAAUUCAUCUCCGGGGGUAGAGCACUGUUUCGGCAAGGGGGUCAUCCCGACUUACCAACCCGAUGCAAACUGCGAAUACCGGAGAAUGUUAUCACGGGAGACACACGGCGGGUGCUAACGUCCGUCGUGAAGAGGGAAACAACCCAGACCGCCAGCUAAGGUCCCAAAGUCAUGGUUAAGUGGGAAACGAUGUGGGAAGGCCCAGACAGCCAGGAUGUUGGCUUAGAAGCAGCCAUCAUUUAAAGAAAGCGUAAUAGCUCACUGGUCGAGUCGGCCUGCGCGGAAGAUGUAACGGGGCUAAACCAUGCACCGAAGCUGCGGCAGCGACACUGUGUGUUGUUGGGUAGGGGAGCGUUCUGUAAGCCUGCGAAGGUGUGCUGUGAGGCAUGCUGGAGGUAUCAGAAGUGCGAAUGCUGACAUAAGUAACGAUAAAGCGGGUGAAAAGCCCGUUCGCCGGAAGACCAAGGGUUCCUGUCCAACGUUAAUCGGGGCAGGGUGAGUCGACCCCUAAGGCGAGGCCGAAAGGCGUAGUCGAUGGGAAACAGGUUAAUAUUCCUGUACUUGGUGUUACUGCGAAGGGGGGACGGAGAAGGCUAUGUUGGCCGGGCGACGGUUGUCCCGGUUUAAGCGUGUAGGCUGGUUUUCCAGGCAAAUCCGGAAAACCAAGGCUGAGGCGUGAUGACGAGGCACUACGGUGCUGAAGCGACAAAUGCCCUGCUUCCAGGAAAAGCCUCUAAGCAUCAGGUAACAUCAAAUCGUACCCCAAACCGACACAGGUGGUCAGGUAGAGAAUACCAAGGCGCUUGAGAGAACUCGGGUGAAGGAACUAGGCAAAAUGGUGCCGUAACUUCGGGAGAAGGCACGCUGAUAUGUAGGUGAAGCGACUUGCUCGUGGAGCUGAAAUCAGUCGAAGAUACCAGCUGGCUGCAACUGUUUAUUAAAAACACAGCACUGUGCAAACACGAAAGUGGACGUAUACGGUGUGACGCCUGCCCGGUGCCGGAAGGUUAAUUGAUGGGGUUAGCGGCAACGCGAAGCUCUUGAUCGAAGCCCCGGUAAACGGCGGCCGUAACUAUAACGGUCCUAAGGUAGCGAAAUUCCUUGUCGGGUAAGUUCCGACCUGCACGAAUGGCGUAAUGAUGGCCAGGCUGUCUCCACCCGAGACUCAGUGAAAUUGAACUCGCUGUGAAGAUGCAGUGUACCCGCGGCAAGACGGAAAGACCCCGUGAACCUUUACUAUAGCUUGACACUGAACAUUGAGCCUUGAUGUGUAGGAUAGGUGGGAGGCUUUGAAGUGUGGACGCCAGUCUGCAUGGAGCCGACCUUGAAAUACCACCCUUUAAUGUUUGAUGUUCUAACGUUGGCCCCUAAUCGGGGUUGCGGACAGUGUCUGGUGGGUAGUUUGACUGGGGCGGUCUCCUCCUAAAGAGUAACGGAGGAGCACGAAGGUUGGCUAAUCCUGGUCGGACAUCAGGAGGUUAGUGCAAUGGCAUAAGCCAGCUUGACUGCGAGCGUGACGGCGCGAGCAGGUGCGAAAGCAGGUCAUAGUGAUCCGGUGGUUCUGAAUGGAAGGGCCAUCGCUCAACGGAUAAAAGGUACUCCGGGGAUAACAGGCUGAUACCGCCCAAGAGUUCAUAUCGACGGCGGUGUUUGGCACCUCGAUGUCGGCUCAUCACAUCCUGGGGCUGAAGUAGGUCCCAAGGGUAUGGCUGUUCGCCAUUUAAAGUGGUACGCGAGCUGGGUUUAGAACGUCGUGAGACAGUUCGGUCCCUAUCUGCCGUGGGCGCUGGAGAACUGAGGGGGGCUGCUCCUAGUACGAGAGGACCGGAGUGGACGCAUCACUGGUGUUCGGGUUGUCAUGCCAAUGGCACUGCCCGGUAGCUAAAUGCGGAAGAGAUAAGUGCUGAAAGCAUCUAAGCACGAAACUUGCCCCGAGAUGAGUUCUCCCUGAGACUUAGAGUCUCCUGAAGGAACGUUGAAGACGACGACGUUGAUAGGCCGGGUGUGUAAGCGCAGCGAUGCGUUGAGCUAACCGGUACUAAUGAACCGUGAGGCUUAACCUUACAACGCCGAAG
Molecule: ribosomal RNA, 2925 nt
Filed under: Escherichia coli
Lineage: Bacteria; Pseudomonadati; Pseudomonadota; Gammaproteobacteria; Enterobacterales; Enterobacteriaceae
Description: 23S ribosomal RNA
Rfam family: Bacterial large subunit ribosomal RNA
Source: RNAcentral